RNAcentral lists this ribosomal RNA (253 nucleotides) under uncultured bacterium. Its description in RNAcentral is "partial 16S ribosomal RNA". It matches the Rfam family "Bacterial small subunit ribosomal RNA", at positions 524 to 776 of the family's 1533-position model. The record is from RNAcentral.
UACGGGGGGGGUAAGCGUUGUUCGGAAUUACUGGGCGUAAAGGGCUCGUAGGCGGCCAACUAAGUCAGACGUGAAAUCCCUCAGCUUAACUGGGGAACUGCGUCUGAUACUGGAUGGCUUGGAUUCGGGAGAGGAAUGCGGAAUUCCAGGUGUAGCGGUGAAAUGCGUAGAUAUCUGGAGGAACACCGGUGGCGAAGGCGGCAUUCCGGACCGAUAUUGACGCUGAGGAGCGAAAGCCAGGGGAGCAAACGGG